AACCUGCCCUCAUCAGGGGGAUAGCCCGGAGAAAUCCGGAUUAAGACCGCAUGAAACCACAGCGCAGCAUUGCGCAAUGGUCAAAUAUUCAUAGGAUGGGGAUGGGCAUGCGUGUCAUUAGCUAGUUGGCGGGGUAACGGCCCACCAAGGCGACGAUGACUAGGGGAUCUGAGAGGAUGGCCCCCCACACUGGUACUGAGACACGGACCAGACUCCUACGGGAGGCAGCAGUAAGGAAUAUUGGUCAAUGGGCGGAAGCCUGAACCAGCCAUGCCGCGUGCAG
RNAcentral lists this ribosomal RNA (283 nucleotides) under uncultured bacterium. RNAcentral describes it as "partial 16S ribosomal RNA". It matches the Rfam family "Bacterial small subunit ribosomal RNA", at positions 123 to 406 of the family's 1533-position model. The record is from RNAcentral.